UCGCCAAUUCUGUCUUAGCCGUGC
Molecule: non-coding RNA, 24 nt
Filed under: Arabidopsis thaliana (thale cress)
Lineage: Eukaryota; Viridiplantae; Streptophyta; Magnoliopsida; Brassicales; Brassicaceae
Source: RNAcentral